Salmo salar (Atlantic salmon) is the source of this 54-nucleotide non-coding RNA. The record is from Rfam. Lineage: Eukaryota; Metazoa; Chordata; Actinopteri; Salmoniformes; Salmonidae.
GAGGGUCGCUCCUGUAAGUCGCUCUGGAUAAGAGCGUCUGCUAAAUGACCAAUA